This 480-nucleotide ribosomal RNA is filed under the name uncultured bacterium. Its description in RNAcentral is "partial 16S ribosomal RNA". It matches the Rfam family "Bacterial small subunit ribosomal RNA", at positions 28 to 507 of the family's 1533-position model. The record is from RNAcentral.
GAUGAACGCUGGCGGCGUGCUUAACACAUGCAAGUCGAACGGAACUACUCCAAUGAGAGUCUUCGGAACGGAUUUGGUUUAGUUUAGUGGCGGACGGGUGAGUAACGCGUGGGUAACCUGCCCUAUACAGGGGGAUAACAGUUGGAAACGACUGUUAAUACCGCAUAAGCGCACAGGAGCGCAUGCUCCGGUGUGAAAAACUCCGGUGGUAUAGGAUGGACCCGCGUCUGAUUAGCUGGUUGGCGGGGUAACGGCCCACCAAGGCGACGAUCAGUAGCCGGCCUGAGAGGGUGAACGGCCACAGUGGGACUGAGACACGGCCCAAACUCCUACGGGAGGCAGCAGUGGGGAAUAUUGCACAAUGGGGGAAACCCUGAUGCAGCGACGCCGCGUGAGCGAAGAAGUAUCUCGGUAUGUAAAGCUCUAUCAGCAGGGAAGAAAAUGACGGUACCUGACGAAGAAGCCCCGGCUAACUACGUG